GGCAACCUGCCCAAAAGAGGGGGAUAACACUUGGAAACAGGUGCUAAUACCGCAUAACCAUAGUUACCGCAUGGUAACUAUGUAAAAGGUGGCUAUGCUACCGCUUUUGGAUGGGCCCGCGGCGCAUUAGCUAGUUGGUGGGGUAAAGGCUUACCAAGGCAAUGAUGCGUAGCCGAACUGAGAGGUUGAUCGGCCACAUUGGGACUGAGACACGGCCCAAACUCCUACGGGAGGCAGCAGUAGGGAAUCUUCCACAAUGGGCGAAAGCCUGAUGGAGCAACGCCGCGUGGGUGAAGAAGGUCUUCGGAUCGUAAAACCCUGUUGUUAGAGAAGAAAGUGCGUGAGAGUAACUGUUCACGUUUCGACGGUAUCUAACCAGAAAGCCACGGCUAACUACGUGCCAGCAGCCGCGGUAAUACGUAGGUGGCAAGCGUUAUCCGGAUUUAUUGGGCGUAAAGGGAACGCAGGCGGUCUUUUAAGUCUGAUGUGAAAGCCUUCGGCUUAACCGGAGUAGUGCAUUGGAAACUGGGAGACUUGAGUGCAGAAGAGGAGAGUGGAACUCCAUGUGUAGCGGUGAAAUGCGUAGAUAUAUGGAAGAACACCAGUGGCGAAAGCGGCUCUCUGGUCUGUAACUGACGCUGAGGUUCGAAAGCGUGGGUAGCAAACAGGAUUAGAUACCCUGGUAGUCCACGCCGUAAACGAUGAAUGC
Molecule: ribosomal RNA, 709 nt
Filed under: uncultured bacterium
Lineage: Bacteria
Description: bacterial SSU rRNA
Rfam family: Bacterial small subunit ribosomal RNA
Source: RNAcentral